AGCACUUGGGAGGCAGAUCUUUGUGAGUUCGAGGCCAGUCUGGUCUACAUAGGUUACUCAGUCCUUUAAGAGCUUUUUAGAGGACAGCUGGGGCUACAAGAAGACCCUGUCUCAAAGACAAAAGAAAAAAGAAUUAGGGCCCAAGGACGAAAACCACAUUUAAAGCUCAAAUACAGCUUACAAAAGCUUGAGAAUCUCAUAUAAAUGGAGAUUCUCUCCGGCUGACAGCUGCGACUUGACUGCCUGCCAGUGGCUGGCUUUUUCCGGUUUAUUCUCCAAAUGGCAACGUCCUGGGAACACCUCCAUUAUUAACAACGGCCACCAGUGGGUCUCUUCUGGAAUUAUUUUCUUCAGUACUGGAAUUGAACCCGGAACCUAGAUACUCAUUCUCACUGAGCCCCAGGCUGCCCUAGAAACUUGGGAUCCUUCCACUUCAGCCUCCCAAAAGCAGGGAUUACAGGCUGACACCUUCAGGCUUUGCCGCCCUCCUCCUCCUUGUCAAGCCUAGUCUUCAUCUGGCCCAAAGGACACCAGCAGAAAAGAAUGGGUAUAUGCAUGUAUUGCCUGCAUGUAGAACUCUGACAGGACCAGGACCCACUGCAGUUCCAGGUCAGCUGUCAUUCCCCGGAGCUCCCUGCCUGCUGUCCUCAACUGGGCAUGACUCACCUUCAGAGGCAUGUGUCCAGCCCUCACCUAGUUACUCACCCUCUGUGGCCUGCUGAGUGGACCUUCUGGAAUAGCCUAAGUGGGCGACACCCACAUUCUUGUGUCCCUGAUGUGUUCCAUCAUCUGCUUGAGGUCUCUGGAGGAUAUUUGUGUUGACUCAAUACGUCCAGUGUGAUGCUCAUUAAACACUGCACACGUGCACACACACCCACACACACACAGUAUGGCUUCCCCCCAUGCAAUUGCAGUCAGCUGUGUACCGCAGAAGCAAGUCAGGGGCUGGAGUCCUCCAGGAUCUUUGCUAGAAUGCUCCAAGACACUGCCAGGUACAAACAAGGGCAGCAUGACAGAGCAGCUCCUGGAUGAGGAGUCCAGUUGGGGGGGGGGGGUUGAGCAGAGUGGGUCUGUGAAGCUUCCAGGUUCCCAUCCCUGCAGGGAAGCCCCCAGGAACCAGGCCACAGCUUCACAGAGUUUGGAGGUUUUCCUGAAUUGCAGCAAAAUUGCCUAAGAAAAACUGUUAUCUUUUUCUCCUAGUCUUGAAAUUCAGUAAUUCUAGUUUACUCUCCUGAUUUGCAUCAGCCACUCAGAAACAUUCCUGGGUCACAAGAUGGCUCAGCAGGUAAGGGAGCUUGCCUCUGA
Long non-coding RNA from Nannospalax galili (Upper Galilee mountains blind mole rat), 1305 nucleotides. RefSeq lists it as uncharacterized. NCBI's taxonomy places the organism in Eukaryota, Metazoa, Chordata, Mammalia, Rodentia, Spalacidae. The transcript is spliced from 4 exons. The record is from RefSeq and is a predicted model, not a curated record.